GAGGAAGGCAGUAGCGUUUUUGACUGUUCCUGCUAUAAACCGCAAUCGCAAACAUACUGAUUGCACGCACAUGUGUGUCGUCUAUCCCCAUAGUAUAAUAAAACAUUUAAGAACUGACCAAUCUUUUAAAAGUAGAAGUGACAGAUCACAUCACAUUAAUCCUUUCAAAUUUAGAGUCAGGAAAUUUCAAAAUGGUUUCACAAUUUCCUUUAGACCCAAUGCACCUUGUAGAUAUUGGUGAAUGUAAAAAGUUGCUUCAAUUGUUGAUUAAAAAAGGCAAUAUAAACGUAAGCAAAGUUAACGAAAAAAUUACAUUUAUUUCCAAUUUAGUUCCCUCAGAGUUCGGUCGAAUAUGUAGAAGUGUAGAUGAAAUCAGCAAUUGGAAAGCGACAGAGUUUACGCAGUUCUUAUUGUAUAUAGGUAUAUUUGUCCUAAAGGAUUGCAUUGGUGAUGACCAUUACUACCAUUUCCUCUUAUUGCACACAGGUAUAAGGCUACUAUCAUGCAAGAAGUCUUAUAGCACUUAUAGCACUGAAGCUAGUUACAAUAUACAUGGUUUACUCCAUUUAACUGACUGUACCAAGCAAUAUGGUCCUCUAGACAACUUUUCCGCUUACAAGUUUGAAAAUCACAUGCAAUAUUUAAAACAAGUUAUAAAUAAGCCCAAUAAAAUCCUGCAGCAAUUACAUUUAAGGCUAGAAGAAAGAAGAUAUAAUUUAUAAAUAUUUUUCUAUUCUACAUGAGAGCAAGUUUCUUUUAAUUCCGAUUUUACAUCAUCUAUUUCAUGAAUUUUCAAAUUAGAAUUUUUCACUGUAAUUAUUGUAUUGUCCCGAUGGUAUUUUAUUAUAUUAUUAUUAAGUUAUUUAAAAUGAAUUUUGAUGCUGCCAAAGUUUUAUUUCUUAAUGAGAUGGAUUCACCAUCACCAUUUGAUGACACCUAUUUGGAGCAAUGCCCAACAACGUCGACUCCCGUAAAAGAACAAUUGACAUUUAAACGGAAGAAAUUCAAUAUUUCUGGUUGCUACAACUCAGAGGCAAGCUUCUCAAAGCAACAAUUAAACAAUUUGCCUGAGGAUGGAAAUGAGUUGAAAAUAUGGAAAGGAAGAUGGACAGCUUUUUGAAAAAAAAUAAAAUUCAUAAAAGCGAAGAAAUGGUACAACAAAAAACCGUCCGCGAAUGUAAGGUGCUAAUGUGGUGCUAAGUGGCGAAAAUAUCGACAACACACAAACAGAAAUUGCUUCCACCUAAUACAUACAUAUUUACAUUGAUUUUUCAUUACAUUUUUUAUAGAUUCUCUCAUUACCUGUGGACUUGCGAAUUUCGAGCAACAAAUGCGGAAGUCCAUCGAAAUGAGCCACCAUAGAUUUAAGCAAAAAAAAAUAAAGGAAGCGAAAA
This 1394-nucleotide unclassified non-coding RNA is filed under the name Bactrocera latifrons. RNAcentral's name for it is "uncharacterized LOC108977344, transcript variant X1". Lineage: Eukaryota; Metazoa; Arthropoda; Insecta; Diptera; Tephritidae. The record is from RNAcentral.